This 483-nucleotide ribosomal RNA is filed under the name uncultured bacterium. RNAcentral's name for it is "partial 16S ribosomal RNA". It matches the Rfam family "Bacterial small subunit ribosomal RNA", at positions 30 to 507 of the family's 1533-position model. The record is from RNAcentral.
UUGAACGCUGGCGGCAGGCCUAACACAUGCAAGUCGAGCGGAUGAAGGGAGCUUGCUCCUGGAUUCAGCGGCGGACGGGUGAGUAAUGCCUAGGAAUCUGCCUGGUAGUGGGGGAUAACGUCCGGAAACGGGCGCUAAUACCGCAUACGUCCUGAGGGAGAAAGUGGGGGAUCUUCGGACCUCACGCUAUCAGAUGAGCCUAGGUCGGAUUAGCUAGUUGGUGGGGUAAAGGCCUACCAAGGCGACGAUCCGUAACUGGUCUGAGAGGAUGAUCAGUCACACUGGAACUGAGACACGGUCCAGACUCCUACGGGAGGCAGCAGUGGGGAAUAUUGGACAAUGGGCGAAAGCCUGAUCCAGCCAUGCCGCGUGUGUGAAGAAGGUCUUCGGAUUGUAAAGCACUUUAAGUUGGGAGGAGGGGCAGUAAGUUAAUACCUUGCUGUUUUGACGUUACCAACAGAAUAAGCACCGGCUAACUUCGUG